RNAcentral lists this ribosomal RNA (432 nucleotides) under uncultured bacterium. RNAcentral describes it as "bacterial SSU rRNA". It matches the Rfam family "Bacterial small subunit ribosomal RNA", at positions 954 to 1392 of the family's 1533-position model. The record is from RNAcentral.
GCAUAACGCGAAGAACCUUACCACCUUUUGACAUGCCUGAACCGCCACAGAGAUGGAUUGGUGCCUUCGGGAACUCUGACACAGGUGCUGCAUGGCUGUCGUCAGCUCGUGUCGUGAGAUGUUGGGUUAAGUCCCGCAACGAGCGCAACCCUUAUCAUUAGUUGCUACGCAAGGGCACUCUAAUGAGACUGCCGGUGACAAACCGGAGGAAGGUGGGGAUGACGUCAAGUCCUCAUGGCCCUUAUGGGUAGGGCUUCACACGUCAUACAAUGGUCGGUACAGAGGGUUGCCAAGCCGCGAGGCGGAGCCAAUCCCAGAAAGCCGAUCGUAGUCCGGAUUGUUCUCUGCAACUCGAGAGCAUGAAGUCGGAAUCGCUAGUAAUCGCGGAUCAGCAUGUCGCGGUGAAUACGUUCCCGGGUCUUGUACACACCG